AUACGUAGGGGCCAAACGUUGUCCGGAUUUAUUGGGCGUAAAGGGCCCGUAGGCGGAUUGGAAAGUCGGGUGUGAAAUCCUACAGCUCAACUGUGGAACUACAUUCGAUACUCCCAAUCUCGAGUGUGAGAGGGGUGAAGGGAAUUCCCGGUGUAAGGGUGAAAUCUGCAGAGAUCGGGAAGAACACCAGUCGCGAAGGCGCUUCACUGGCUCACUACUGACGCUGAGGGACGAAAGCUAGGGUAGCCAACGGGAUUAGAAACCCCAGUAGUCC
This 274-nucleotide ribosomal RNA is filed under the name uncultured bacterium. Its description in RNAcentral is "partial 16S ribosomal RNA". It matches the Rfam family "Bacterial small subunit ribosomal RNA", at positions 523 to 796 of the family's 1533-position model. The record is from RNAcentral.